Malus domestica (apple) is the source of this 1013-nucleotide non-coding RNA. NCBI's taxonomy places the organism in Eukaryota, Viridiplantae, Streptophyta, Magnoliopsida, Rosales, Rosaceae. The record is from RefSeq and is a predicted model, not a curated record.
AAAUAAAUAAUAAUAAUGAUAAAUCAUGAUGAUGUUUGAAACAUCAUCAUGAUUCAUGUUUUGUAAAAGAAGAGAGCAACAAAUACAAAUGGCAAGGUGGAAUCGAGAAAGCCAGAGCGUUAUUCAUCAGCCGCAUCAUUAUCUCCUGAUGCACGCCUGCGCAUUGUUUCUGAGCGCAUGGACAUUGUUGAUAACCUCAUCAUUUCCAUUUCGAUAGGUCCCCGAAUUCAAAGAUUAUAAAAUCACAAGACAAGAGUACAUGGACUGAAAAAGACGUUGCUGAUUCUCUCAUGGCAGAAACGGAAUGUACAGCAGAAAAAGAAAAUAAAAUAGUGGAGCACUGAGGCAGUGCGGAAAGAGGUCAGAGGCACUGGCAGACUGGAGGAAUAAGAAAUAAGAAAAGCAAAUGGGACGGUAGUGGGGAGUAGGUCAGAAAUAAAAGAAGAAUAAAAUAGGGAAAAUGAGGGGGAAUAAGAGGCCUCGGGGAAGAACAGAGACAGGGGGCGCGGGAGAGAGCUGCCCUUGGCAGCGUGAGUGAAAGGAGAAGGCUGCCUUUGGGCAGCGUGAGAAGGACAGGAACAGAAGCAGCUGAGCUGCGUGGAGAGAGAAACCGAGGGAGUCCACACAGACAGCCACACGGACAGAAGAGCGCAGGAGAGCUGAGGGAGGACAGACAGCUGCCCUUGGCAGCGUGAGUGCACAGGAAAAAAGGCAGCAUAGGCGAGAGGUCAGCAAGAGGAAAGCUGCCAUUUGGCAGCAUGAGAAUGGGGAGGAUGGAUAGAGUGAAGACUUGCGAGGAGCUGCGGGAAAGAAGGAGGUCAGAGUCAGUACGGGACAGCAAGAAUAAGGAGGGCACGAACGCAGCAGAUCAUCCUCUUUCGGUUUAAUCUUUCCAAAUUUCUAUUUUAUUUUUGUUUUAAUAAUGUGUAAUUAAAUUUAUUUUGGCUAGAGGUUAAUUCAAAGCCAUGAAUAUAUUUGUAAUAUGAAUUGAUUACCUUCAGUUGUGAUUUAAU